GACAGAGGGUGCAAACGUUGUUCGGAAUUACUGGGCGUAAAGAGCUCGUAGGCGGUCUGUCGCGUCUGCUGUGAAAACUCAGGGCUUAACCCUGAGCUUGCAGUGGGUACGGGCAGACUAGAGUGCGGUAGGGGAGACUGGAAUUCCCGGUGUAGCGGUGAAAUGCGCAGAUAUCAGGAGGAACACCGGUGGCGAAGGCGGGUCUCUGGGCCGUAACUGACGCUGAGGAGCGAAAGCAUGGGGAGCGAACAGG
This 253-nucleotide ribosomal RNA is filed under the name uncultured bacterium. RNAcentral's name for it is "partial 16S ribosomal RNA". It matches the Rfam family "Bacterial small subunit ribosomal RNA", at positions 524 to 776 of the family's 1533-position model. The record is from RNAcentral.